CAAGGGGACACCUUUCUAAAAGAAGCUGCAGUUCAUCAUCUGCUGUCAUAGUUCCGCAACCAGAGGAUCCAGACAGAGCCAAUACUUCAGAAAGGCAGAAAACGGGGCAGGUGCCUAAAAAAGACAAUUCUCGAGGAGUGAAACGCAGUGCUAGUCCAGACUACAACAGGACCAAUUCUCCUAGCUCUGCGAAAAAGCCCAGAGCAUUUCAGCAUAUUGAGUCUCUCUCAGAAACCAAUAAGCCACCUAGUAAGUCAAAGAAGAGACAUUUAGACCAGGAG
RNAcentral lists this long non-coding RNA (281 nucleotides) under Rattus norvegicus (Norway rat). Its description in RNAcentral is "long non-coding RNA NONRATT030238". Lineage: Eukaryota; Metazoa; Chordata; Mammalia; Rodentia; Muridae. The record is from RNAcentral.